GCCUAGUGCCACCCACCGACGGCUCUCGAAACUUGUUGCGAUCUCACAAGAACGUUUGUCAUGCCUUCUAGGAUGUGUAUCAACCCAAUACAUAACAAGAAAGGAAUCCUGCAUCACUCUGAUAAUGCAAGUUUAAAGGAAAGAUUCAAUGGAAGAUUCUGUUGAGAUAGUGUGAUUGAGAAGCUGCUUCAUGUUACAAAGGAAUUAAAACCAGGUAAUACAAAAUUGCUUGCAUAUGAUGUGAAUUCGGAACCAACUUAGCUAUUUCAAGUCUGAUAUAUCCUAAAGCAACCCUUUUCACCUAACCUUCUCUAGUUCCAAACCUCAUAAAAACCCAUUUUUGGUGUAAUUCUUUAGUGCUAUGGCUUUUCAGCAACCUUUUUCAUUGCUGAAUCUGCCGAC
This is a long non-coding RNA of Juglans microcarpa x Juglans regia, 402 nucleotides long. RefSeq lists it as uncharacterized. The transcript has 3 exons. Lineage: Eukaryota; Viridiplantae; Streptophyta; Magnoliopsida; Fagales; Juglandaceae. The record is from RefSeq and is a predicted model, not a curated record.